UACGAAGGGGGCGAGCGUUGUUCGGAAUUACUGGGCGUAAAGGGCUCGUAGGCGGCCAACUAAGUCAGACGUGAAAUCCCUCGGCUUAACCGGGGAACUGCGUCUGAUACUGGAUGGCUUGAGUUUGGGAGAGGGAUGCGGAAUUCCAGGUGUAGCGGUGAAAUGCGUAGAUAUCUGGAGGAACACCGGUGGCGAAGGCGGCAUCCUGGACCAACACUGACGCUGAGUGAGCGAAAGCCAGGGGAGCAAACGGG
RNAcentral lists this ribosomal RNA (254 nucleotides) under uncultured bacterium. Its description in RNAcentral is "partial 16S ribosomal RNA". It matches the Rfam family "Bacterial small subunit ribosomal RNA", at positions 524 to 776 of the family's 1533-position model. The record is from RNAcentral.